Molecule: ribosomal RNA, 497 nt
Filed under: uncultured bacterium
Lineage: Bacteria
Description: partial 16S ribosomal RNA
Rfam family: Bacterial small subunit ribosomal RNA
Source: RNAcentral
GAUGAACGCUGGCGGCGUGCCUAAUACAUGCAAGUCGAGCGAACAGAUGAGGAGCUUGCUCCUCUGACGUUAGCGGCGGACGGGUGAGUAACACGUGGAUAACCUACCUAUAAGACUGGGAUAACUUCGGGAAACCGGAGCUAAUACCGGAUAAUAUAUUGAACCGCAUGGUUCAAUAGUGAAAGACGGUUUUGCUGUCACUUAUAGAUGGAUCCGCGCCGCAUUAGCUAGUUGGUAAGGUAACGGCUUACCAAGGCAACGAUGCGUAGCCGACCUGAGAGGGUGAUCGGCCACACUGGAACUGAGACACGGUCCAUGCUCCUACGGGAGGCAGCAGUAGGGAAUCUUCCGCAAUGGGCGAAAGCCUGACGGAGCAACGCCGAGUGAGUGAUGAAGGUCUUCGGAUCGUAAAACUCUGUUAUUAGGGAAGAACAAAUGUGUAAGUAACUAUGCACGUCUUGACGGUACCUAAUAAGAAAGCCACGGCUAACUACGUG